GUAGGGUGCAAGCGUUGUCCGGAUUUAUUGGGCGUAAAGCGCGUGUAGGCGGUCAGGCAGGUCUGACGUGAAAUCUCGAGGCUCAACCUCGAUAGGUCGUUGGAAACCACCUGGCUAGAGUCCGGAAGAGGAGAGUGGAAUUCCUGGUGUAGCGGUGAAAUGCGCAGAUAUCAGGAAGAACACCGAUGGCGAAGGCAGCUCUCUGGGACGGUACUGACGCUGAGACGCGAAAGCGUGGGGAGCGAACAGGAUUAGAUACCCUGGUAGUCCUAGCCGUAAACGAUGGGUGCUAGGUGUGGGAGGUAUCAACCCCUUCCGUGCCGAAGCUAACGCAUUAAGCACCCCGCCUGGGGAGUACGGCCGCAAGGCUA
Molecule: ribosomal RNA, 371 nt
Filed under: uncultured bacterium
Lineage: Bacteria
Description: bacterial SSU rRNA
Rfam family: Bacterial small subunit ribosomal RNA
Source: RNAcentral